GCCCGAGUGGCGGAAUGGUAGACGCAGCGGAUUCAAAAUCCGCCGCCCAAAAGGCGUGGGGGUUCGACUCCCCCCUCGGGCA
Molecule: transfer RNA, 82 nt
Filed under: Boseongicola aestuarii
Lineage: Bacteria; Pseudomonadati; Pseudomonadota; Alphaproteobacteria; Rhodobacterales; Paracoccaceae
Rfam family: tRNA
About the family: Transfer RNA (tRNA) molecules are approximately 80 nucleotides in length. Their secondary structure includes four short double-helical elements and three loops (D, anti-codon, and T loops).
Source: Rfam by way of RNAcentral